Canis lupus familiaris (dog) is the source of this 769-nucleotide long non-coding RNA. RefSeq lists it as uncharacterized. NCBI's taxonomy places the organism in Eukaryota, Metazoa, Chordata, Mammalia, Carnivora, Canidae. The transcript has 3 exons. The record is from RefSeq and is a predicted model, not a curated record.
UUUAAAGGAAGCUGAGGCAGAGCCAGGGUUUUGUCUCAGACCCCACGGCAGGAGAGCAGGAGGAUGCCAUGCAGGGGCUCCAGGUCUGGUCUUCUCUGCGCCAGCCUUCCCUCUACCCUGGCCUUCUCUGCUAUGUCAUCUCAGCAUCACAGAAGGUGGCCAUUGACGAGACCAGCUGGGAUUGAACUAGGAUCUCUUUGGCCCAGUUCCAAGGGGAGGACUUGGUCAGCUCAGCUUGAACCAGAUGCCCACCCUGACCAAUGUCUGAGCCAAUUUGUACCAAUAUGUUUGUUGGCAACCACUCCCUAAAGCCCAAGUCUCUCAAAGUGAGAGAAGAAAGAAAAAUGAGGAUGGAGAAGAACGUAAUACCAAAUAUUUCACCAAAGCAUUAACCGGUCGACAAUGGAAAACAGCAAUUUCGCUGGCUGUCUCCCGAUUCCAUUCUGAAUUGGAGCUGGCGGAGCGGGCAAGGUGGCCUUGCUGUUGCCUCUCUGCACAGCCCUGUGACCCUCUGCUGGCCUGGGACCACCCAGGACCAGACCUGCAGCUUCUUUAUCCCUUUACCCUGUACCUGUGCACAGCGAGGCUUGCUGUUGUUGAGGAAACAUGUACCCCACUUCAUGGCCUUCAAAGCACUUCUAAAAACAAGCAAAGAGGGCAGCCCGGGUGGCUCAGCGUUUGCGCACUGCCUUCAGCCCAGGGCCUGAUCCUGGAGACCCGGGAUCUAGUCCCACGUCAGCCUCCCUGCACGGAGUCUGCUUCUCCCUCU